RNAcentral lists this transfer RNA (97 nucleotides) under Myxococcales bacterium. RNAcentral describes it as "tRNA-Ser". It matches the Rfam family "tRNA". Rfam says of the family: Transfer RNA (tRNA) molecules are approximately 80 nucleotides in length. Their secondary structure includes four short double-helical elements and three loops (D, anti-codon, and T loops). The record is from RNAcentral. Lineage: Bacteria; Pseudomonadati; Myxococcota; Myxococcia; Myxococcales.
GGAGAGGCAAGCCGAAGGCAGGCGACGGCGCCCGGUUGGAAGCCGGGGGAGGCCCACGAUCGUGCGGCCCUUGCGGGUUCGAUCCCCGCCCUCUCCG